UCUUUUCCUUGUGUGCCAGCAGCCGCGGUAAUACGUAGGGGGCAAGCGUUAUCCGGAAUUACUGGGUGUAAAGGGUGCGUAGGUGGUAUGGCAAGUCAGAAGUGAAAACCCAGGGCUUAACUCUGGGACUGCUUUUGAAACUGUCAGACUGGAGUGCAGGAGAGGUAAGCGGAAUUCCUAGUGUAGCGGUGAAAUGCUUAGAUAUCACGAAGAACUCCGAUUGCGAAGGCAGCUCACUGGAGCGCAACUGACGCUGAAGCUCGAAAGUGCGGGUAUCGAACAGG
Molecule: ribosomal RNA, 284 nt
Filed under: Anaerostipes hadrus ATCC 29173 = JCM 17467
Lineage: Bacteria; Bacillati; Bacillota; Clostridia; Lachnospirales; Lachnospiraceae
Description: Anaerostipes hadrus DSM 3319 partial 16S ribosomal RNA
Rfam family: Bacterial small subunit ribosomal RNA
Source: RNAcentral